Molecule: ribosomal RNA, 445 nt
Filed under: uncultured bacterium
Lineage: Bacteria
Description: partial 16S ribosomal RNA
Rfam family: Bacterial small subunit ribosomal RNA
Source: RNAcentral
CCAGACUCCUACGGGAGGCAGCAGUGGGGAAUAUUGCACAAUGGGGGAAACCCUGAUGCAGCGACGCCGCGUGAGCGAAGAAGUAUUUCGGUAUGUAAAGCUCUAUCAGCAGGGAAGAAAUUGACGGUACCUGAGUAAGAAGCUCCGGCUAAAUACGUGCCAGCAGCCGCGGUAAUACGUAUGGAGCAAGCGUUAUCCGGAUUUACUGGGUGUAAAGGGAGCGUAGGCGGCCUGCCAAGUCUGAUGUGAAAUGCCGGGGCUCAACCCCGGGGCUGCAUUGGAAACUGGCAGGCUGGAGUGUCGGAGAGGCAGGCGGAAUUCCUAGUGUAGCGGUGAAAUGCGUAGAUAUUAGGAGGAACACCAGUGGCGAAGGCGGCUUACUGGACUGUAACUGACGUUGAGGCUCGAAAGCGUGGGGAGCAAACAGGAUUAGAUACCCUCGUAU